This 345-nucleotide unclassified non-coding RNA is filed under the name soil metagenome. Its description in RNAcentral is "partial contains 5.8S ribosomal RNA, internal transcribed spacer 2, and large subunit ribosomal RNA". The stretch from base 1 to 119 matches the Rfam family "5.8S ribosomal RNA", at positions 35 to 154 of the family's 154-position model. The record is from RNAcentral.
GAUGAAGAACGUAGCGAAAUGCGAUACGUAAUGUGAAUUGCAAAUUCAGUGAAUCAUCGAGUCUUUGAACGCACAUUGCGCCCCCUGGUAUUCCGGGGGGCAUGCCCGUCCGAGCGUCAUUGCUGCCCUCAAGCACGGCUUGUGUGUUGGGCCCCGUCCUCCGAUCCCGGGGGACGGGCCCGAAAGGCAGCGGCGGCACCGCGUCCGGUCCUCGAGCGUAUGGGGCUUUGUCACCCGCUCUGUAGGCCCGGCCGGCGCUUGCCGAUCAACCCAAAUUUUUAUCCAGGUUGACCUCGGAUCAGGUAGGGAUACCCGCUGAACUUAAGCAUAUCAAUAAGCGGAGGA